UUCAGGAAUACAAUCAACAAUUCAAUACACAGAGAGGAUUUUGUGUGGAAUUUUUUUCUAGGUGCUAGGAAUGUAAUUUAGCACAGAGAAAUAUAUAUGUUAACAAUCCAAUAGAAGUUCAUCUGUUUAUCAAUAAAAGCAAAAAUUAACGGGUAUCACCUAUCAGUGAAUGAGCUUAUAGAAGUUUCUAAUCCAAGAAUCAUGUCAUUGGCAUGAGAUAUAGAUAAGAGACAACACAUAUCUAGCAAUUUCGCAACCCAAUUCUCAUAUAUUAAGCUAUGAAGUAGGAAGUCUUCAAAUUGCAAUAUUCAAAGACAGCGGCAAUUCCAUUACAUGGGAAAUGAAAGAUGUUUAGCAUCAGUCAUCUUUCAAUCUCUUGAGAAGCUUAGAAGCCCACCUCCGAACACGUCUCUUCAACGUGUAGCCAACAACAACUCCAGCAACAAAGAAAAUCGAACAAAGCUUUGAACAGGUCCACAGUGAAACCAUUUGUCUGCAAUUGGGCAAAUUAGCAAUAAUGAUCAAUGAAGGAAAACAUAGGAAAAGAGAAUGAAAAGGAUGAGGAAAUAAAUAGGCAAUUACAAUUCAAUUUGCAAUGAAACAUUCACAGCCAAUCAACAAGACUUUGCAGGGCUCUGAAUGAGAUGAUCUCAUGGGGCUUAAAAGUUAAAAUUGAGACUAUGCUUAUAUAACAGUUCCAGAAAUUAUCAGAAAUUUAAUCAGCAAAGUUAUUUGGUUUCAAACAUUGCAAAUUUAACAUUGUAGGAAUCAAACAGCUAAUAAAUUUUUCGAACCUACCCAUUCAGGUUGUAGUUUAGGAAAAGGCACCAUGGCCAACGCUUUAUAUCAGGCACACAACCAAUUUGAAAAGUACUGUUUUCAAGAACAAUUUGGUUGCUUUGCUUGCAUUAAAAAUGAGGAAAAUCACAGACCCAUGCAUCUUAUAUCAAAAAACUUAUCAAAUGAUACUUACAUAACCAAUUUGAGAAGUACUAUUUUCAAGAACAGUUUGCUUACUUUGCUUACAUUGAAAAUGAGGAAAAUCACAAACCAUGCACCUUAUAUCAAAUGAUAACUCUUCCAGUUGUCGAAAUUUGAGACAAAACAUGAGCUGAAACCUUGCAAAUUUCCAAUGACUAAAUGAGCAAUGCAUUAAUUUUACUUGACUACCAAAUUCCAAACAUAGCAUUUGCAUUACUCAAUCCUGCAAUACUACCAGUUUGUACCACACACAUCUAAAACAAUCACUGGUUAAAACCCAGCAUACAAAUCAAGAAUUACCACAAAG
RNAcentral lists this unclassified non-coding RNA (1288 nucleotides) under Hevea brasiliensis (rubber tree). The record is from RNAcentral. Lineage: Eukaryota; Viridiplantae; Streptophyta; Magnoliopsida; Malpighiales; Euphorbiaceae.